Molecule: ribosomal RNA, 460 nt
Filed under: uncultured Alkaliflexus sp.
Lineage: Bacteria; Pseudomonadati; Bacteroidota; Bacteroidia; Marinilabiliales; Marinilabiliaceae
Description: bacterial SSU rRNA
Rfam family: Bacterial small subunit ribosomal RNA
Source: RNAcentral
CCUACGGGUGGCUGCAGUGAGGAAUAUUGGUCAAUGGGCGCAAGCCUGAACCAGCCAUGUCGCGUGCAGGAAGACUGCCCUAUGGGUUGUAAACUGCUUUUAUAGUAGAAGAAACACAUCUACGCGUAGAUGUCUGCCAGUAUACUAUGAAUAAGCAUCGGCUAACUCCGUGCCAGCAGCCGCGGUAAUACGGAGGAUGCAAGCGUUAUCCGGAUUUAUUGGGUUUAAAGGGUGCGUAGGCGGGACUGUAAGUCAGGGGUGAAAUACUGCAGCUUAACUGUAGCAUUGCCUUUGAAACUGCCGUUCUUGAGUACAGUUGAGGUAGGCGGAAUGUGGUGUGUAGCGGUGAAAUGCAUAGAUAUACCACAGAACGCCGAUUGCGAAGGCAGCUUACUAAGCUGUUACUGACGCUGAGGCACGAAAGCGUGGGGAUCAAACAGGAUUAGAUACCCCUGUAGUC